RNAcentral lists this ribosomal RNA (380 nucleotides) under uncultured cyanobacterium. RNAcentral's name for it is "bacterial SSU rRNA". It matches the Rfam family "Bacterial small subunit ribosomal RNA", at positions 376 to 770 of the family's 1533-position model. The record is from RNAcentral. Lineage: Bacteria; Bacillati; Cyanobacteriota.
CGAAAGCCUGACGGAGCAAGUCCGCGUGAGGGAUGAAAGGCUCUUGGUUUGUAAACCUCUUUUCUCAGGGAAGAAACCUGACGGUACCUGAGGAAUAAGCAUCGGCUAACUCCGUGCCAGCAGCCGCGGUAAUACGGAGGAUGCAAGCGUUAUCCGGAAUUAUUGGGCGUAAAGCGUUCGCAGGUGCCUGUUCAAGUCUGCUGUCAAAGACCGGGGCUUAACCCUAGAAAGCCAGUGGAAACUGAGCGGCUUAGAGUGCAGUAUGGAUAGAGGGAAUUCCCAGUGUAGCGGUGAAAUGCGUAGAGAUUGGGAAGAACACCGGUGGCGAAAGCGCUCUGCUGGACUGCAACUGACACUGAGGGACGAAAGCUAGGGGAGCG